UCACAUUCUCUUUCGGGAAUUCAGCUUCAUCCAAGCCACCCCUCACAACAGGGCAUCAUUCCUACGGGCCUUCUGGAGAUGCUUCCGAACUGUGGGCAAAAAUGGCGAUCUGCUGACCA
Molecule: long non-coding RNA, 119 nt
Organism: Myotis lucifugus (little brown bat)
Lineage: Eukaryota; Metazoa; Chordata; Mammalia; Chiroptera; Vespertilionidae
Exons: 3
Source: RefSeq, a predicted model, not a curated record